RNAcentral lists this ribosomal RNA (433 nucleotides) under uncultured bacterium. Its description in RNAcentral is "bacterial SSU rRNA". It matches the Rfam family "Bacterial small subunit ribosomal RNA", at positions 917 to 1344 of the family's 1533-position model. The record is from RNAcentral.
GGGCCCGCACAAGCGGUGGAGUAUGUGGUUUAAUUCGAUGCAACGCGAAGAACCUUACCAGGGUUUGACAUCCUGCGAAUCUCUUGGAAACAGGAGAGUGCCUUCGGGAACGCAGUGACAGGUGGUGCAUGGCUGUCGUCAGCUCGUGUCGUGAGAUGUUGGGUUAAGUCCCGCAACGAGCGCAACCCACGUCUUUAGUUGCCAGCAUUUAGUUGGGCACUCUAGAGAGACUGCCGGUGAUAAACCGGAGGAAGGUGUGGAUGAUGUCAAGUCAUCACUGCCCCUUACAGUCCUGGGCUACACACGUACUACAAUGGCUAACGGGACAAAGGGCUAGCAAGUUCGCGAGGACAAGCAAAUCCCAAUAAACCGUGGCUCAGUUCAGAUCGUAGGCUGCAACUCGCCUACGUGAAGGCGGAAUCGCUAGUAAUCG